GCGCCAUACCAAUUGGUGAGCAUUUCUAUUUAUUUAUUUUUCAUUUAAAGGAUGAUACUUCUCCUGUUAUCUUGAGAAUGCUCUGGAUGAAAUUACAUUGAUGUUCUAACUUUCCUCUCUUCAGUUCAUAAUUCUGCUGGGCCAAAAAUGCAGAAGACUGGCAGCAAACGGGGUUUCUUGCCCAGAAUGUAGAAGAGUAUGCAGAUGUCAUCCUCAAAGUUUGAAGGAUGCCAGAAACUGAGAGGCUCAAGAUGGCUGCAGCUGCAAGGAAACGUGCAGGCCGUUUUUCCUAGCAAAGAUUUUUUGAAGAUUUCAAAGCUGCAAUUCGACCUAUUAAACCAUGUUUCCAGAUGAUGGAUUAGCACAGUUAAUAGCUAUUGAAAAUUUCUAACUACAGAACAGAGGAGCAUAGCUAGUAGUGGUAAAUGAACUAUAAUUUACAGCCACAGCCAUUUCAAGUUAACAAUGGCAUGUUGCACCAACACUGAAAAAUCUUUGGAUUGAAAAUUUUCUAGCAUGUGACAUGCUCGCUGGAUGAAUGGCAUCUUCUGAAGGAACAUGUAGUUCCCAGCCUGAUUUUUUUCAGUUUGUCAAGACACAAGAUUUUUCAGCUUAUGAAUUUGAGCUACAAUUCUGAAGUGUUUUUAUAUCAUCACUUUACUUUGCUUUUCAUGGAUAAUUUCUCAGCUCUUUUAGUGCUUCUGGCAACAGUUCUUAUAUCUUACAAGAAAAUGCAACUUAACAUGGCUCGGGUUCUGU
Molecule: long non-coding RNA, 759 nt
Organism: Populus euphratica (Euphrates poplar)
Lineage: Eukaryota; Viridiplantae; Streptophyta; Magnoliopsida; Malpighiales; Salicaceae
Exons: 3
Source: RefSeq, a predicted model, not a curated record